RNAcentral lists this long non-coding RNA (1056 nucleotides) under Equus asinus (donkey). RNAcentral's name for it is "lncRNA (ENSEASG00005024833.1)". Lineage: Eukaryota; Metazoa; Chordata; Mammalia; Perissodactyla; Equidae. The record is from RNAcentral.
GACACAGCAUGGAACUGGUGGGAGGAAUGAUUUGUGCUACAGGUUAUGUUCUUAGAACUGCCUGAACUCAGAGCUCAGACCUGGGGUCUUGGGGCCGACUGAAUUCGAUGUGGUGGUGCAGAGACUUAGAAUGGUGGCAGGACAAGGACACACUUGCAAGCUUAGCCCUGAUGUAAGGGGGAUGUGUCAUGAUUCCUCUGGGAGCACAAUCUACACCUGCAGCAUUUGGAUGAAAACCUUUUGGAGCACAGAGAAGUGAUUUUCUAGGCUGAGAGUGACUCAGUCCAAGACAUUGUCCUGGGAAGUAUCCUCAUUCUGUGCAAGAAGGGGCUGGAGGGGCUGUGCAGUUUUGGAGGUAGAAGGCCUUACUUGUUUUUGCUGAAAACUUCUGCUGUUCCUCAGGUUGCCCCAUCCCCGGGAAGACGUGAUGGAGUUACCCAAAAAGAAAAGUAGCCAACAUAUAAAAGAUACAGUAUGCGGGGACACGGUGGAAUAAUCUGUUUUAGAGCCAUGGGCAAGGGUCCUUAGGCAAUUCACCACUCAGCGUGAAAAUGUGUAAUCAUAAAGGUGAAGGAACCUCUUGUCUUAUAAAACAUCUGGAUAAUCAACAUAUACGUGAAUCAUAAGAUCAAUGAUACACAUGCUAGGAUGCGUGUGAUAGAAAGAGACAGACUCAAGUCUGUAAAUGUAUGAACAGGAGGUGUUUCCAUAAAGAUGGUUUGUUGAUAAUCAACAUAAAUAUGAUGUAGUAUUUCUGACUACGUGCUUGAAAAUAUCUUCUUUGGAGAUCACUGACUGAGGAAAGAAAUUUGAUUGGAUAACCUCAAUGUGAAAAUAUUUCUGCCUCAGCACUGGCGGCAGGCCUGCGACUGUGAUGCUGCCUAUGGACCAGAAGCAGCCCUGUCACUCUGUGAACUCAGCUCCAGUCUCACUUGCCUGUGGUCCUGCCUCUGGCCACUUCUGUCAAGGCACCCUGGAAGAGCUAUACGCAUCAUUGCCAAAGGCAAACAAAGGUCUGGAGGCAGCUCUACUCUCCCACCUGUGGACACCUUGUGG